Etheostoma spectabile (orangethroat darter) is the source of this 110-nucleotide long non-coding RNA. RefSeq lists it as uncharacterized. The record is from RefSeq and is a predicted model, not a curated record. The transcript is spliced from 3 exons. Lineage: Eukaryota; Metazoa; Chordata; Actinopteri; Perciformes; Percidae.
CGCAGUUCAAAGUAGCCUAGUACUACAGCUACGGUGGCCUUCACGCUUCAAAAAGCCGGUCUCUUGCUCUUUUCAAUCUCCUUUUUCUGUUUCUUGAAAUUUGGAUUUCU